UGGCUCAGAGGUUAAAGUGUCUGCCUAGAAAGCAGGAGACCAGGGUUCGAUCCCUG
RNAcentral lists this transfer RNA (56 nucleotides) under Ovis aries (sheep). It matches the Rfam family "tRNA", at positions 8 to 63 of the family's 71-position model. Rfam says of the family: Transfer RNA (tRNA) molecules are approximately 80 nucleotides in length. Their secondary structure includes four short double-helical elements and three loops (D, anti-codon, and T loops). The record is from Rfam by way of RNAcentral. Lineage: Eukaryota; Metazoa; Chordata; Mammalia; Artiodactyla; Bovidae.